CUACCUCAAAACGCUAUGUACAAAGGAUAAAAAGACAUAGGACCCUGAGAUGAAGUGGUGCUUACCAAAUCAGCAGAGGAGAGGGUAUGUUGCUAUCAUUGGUCAAUGCCACCUGCUAUGGAACCACUUGCAUCCAUUAAAGAUGUAGCACCCCCGAAAAAAGGGACGUUAGUACAUAUGAAAUAGUACUAGUAUGUAAAACAAAAUUCCCUCUCAAUAGAAUGAGCAACAGUAAACCGAGAAUAAAACAUGAAAUCAAUAAGAGACUCAAGCAGUAUCAAGGUGUCAAGUCAAUGGAAAGGUAAAUUUCAAAUAUGAUUCAGUAAUAUAAGUUGGGAGAUCUUUAGCACUGAUAUACCACUGUGUUUUAUUACGGAGUCUGAUCUCAGCCCGACCAGCUAAGCCAUCUCAUCCUGAGACAUACACUCAUAAUACCACCAUGUGUGCGGUAUGGUGUCCGAUCUCAGCCCGAUCGGCUAAGCCGUCUCACUACAAUGUCGUGUGGGUCGACAUUACAUCACAUAUAGCUAGUAAUAAUCUCAUCCCAUUUAAGGGAAAAAUAUCUCAACACACCAAUCCCAUCCCAUAUAAGGGGAAACAAUCUCAUCAUAUUAACACAGAGAUUUACCCCUCAAUCACUCCUACACCGGCACAUAUAGUUUCAGGGUUGGGUUGUUCAGACUUACCCUUCCUCGGUGGCUAACCGAUACUCCCAAAGCAUUUGUUAUUAAAAGUAUUACCACUCAAUUCAUAUUCUUUUACAUGUCAUUCAUUUUAUUGACAUCAUUGGCCAUAAUGCAAUACCAUUCUUGGAACAUUGGUCGUACUUCAUAAUUCAAUCUCACUAUUCCAUUUUCAAUCAUUAUCACGGAUAAUCAAUAACAAGGCCUUUCAGAUUAAGACUUUAAACACAUACUUGAGCAAAUUAGGGUCUUAGGCACAUAUGAUCUCUUAUACAAUUUGAUGUGAUCACUUCCAUUUGGACUUGACUUGAAGUCACAACAUUUUAAUACAUACUCAUACUUCAAAUACUCUCCCGAAGAAUAGCACAAUAUAAUAAGAAAAUUUCGGAACACCUUUGAACAUAUUCAUAUAUAUACAUCAUCCGACGCCAAACUUAUUCAGAAAAGUCAAUUCAUAAUGGACAACUCGGGACUUACAAGAUCAUCAUGCGAAUUCAAUUCUAAGAAAGGUGUUUAGCCAACAUACCUUGCCUCGAGCUUUUUAAUUUACUAUAAUAUUUCAGAGAUCCUAGACACUUCGAUCUAUUUAGAGAUAUAGCAAAAUUGAACACAAAUUAGGAAGGAGUUCAUAGUUCCAGCUCACUUAAGCAUUUUACCAAACACUAGGCGUGCAUUAAGGUUUUAAGAUCCUCCUAUCGUGGAUUCUUUCACCCCCACUACCCAAAGUUCACUCAAAAGAGCUCAACAAUCUCCCUACUACCCUAGAUGGUACAUGUAUGUAAAAUAAACAACUUCCACACCCAAGAAUUGCUUUACUAAUUACCCAUUUUUAGUUAAAUUCCGAAAUUAAGGGUUAGGGUGUAGAAUCUAACCUUUUGGUUGAAGACCUUGUGAGUUACCCUAGAGAAAUCUUCAAGGUUUGAACAAAGAUUGAUGAAAAAAUGACUUAGAAGUCCUCUUCUCACUCUAGACCACCUUCCUCUCUCUCUAAAAUGUAAGUUUGAACCUUCUAAAAUGACCCUUAACAUUGUUUUAUAAGAAUGGGGUCGGGUUUAUAAAAUCAGAAAAAUGAAGCUCUAAAACACAAUAUGUGGUCGCAUAGUGAUCACAAAAUGCAUAUGCGAUCCGCAAAUCGGCCGCACAAUUGGUGCCCCUGAACUGGGAUGUUCGGGCUGGGUCUGCGGCAGUUCUGCAGCCGCAGACCUAUUCUGGGGUCGCAUAAUGCACCGUAGAACUUCCCUCCGAAAAUUACCAUGCUGGUUUCACGGUCGAUGUGCGGCCCGCGAAAUAGUUUUGCGAUCGUAUAGUUGACCGCACAAUAUCAUCCAAACUUGGCCAGUUUUCUGCUUCACUCUGCGGCCCACAAAGUGAUUCUGCAGCCGCAUAGUGGGCCGUAGAAAUGUCUUUUUCUGCCAAAAAUUUUCCUUUACUCCCUAGCGCACUGUUCAACCCAAAAAGUCUGUACGUCAACACAUAAGCCUACUUCGGCACCACGAAAUCCUGGGUUUUUAGGCAAAAUUUUACGGGGCCUUACAUCCUCCCCCACUUAAGUUCAUUCGUCGUCGACUAAGGGCUAAAACCUUCCAUUAGAAACCAAUGUGACUUAGCUUCUAUAACACACACCAAUAAUUCCCAAAUUUCGACUUACUCCCCAAAUUUCCAAAAUUUUCGCUAGAGUUUCCCCUGUAACUGGGCCUAACCACCUGUCAGAGAAUCCCAGAAACCACUCCUAACAACAUAUACAUAAUCCGAUGAUGCAAUAUAACAUAAAAAAACACAAAUUGUGGCCUCAUAAGCAAUAUAUUACCAAAAAGGGAACACCCUUAACAUCAACGGUAUAAAUGAUACAUAAUUCAUAGAAGGUAACUCUUAGCAUUUUCAUAGAACACAACUUUCUAAAUAAAUGGCUAUUCAAAAAAAUAAGGAUACUUCUUCUUCAUUUCUUCCUCGGCCUUCCAGGUGGCCUCUUCAACUUGUUGGUUCCGCCAUAGUACUUUCACAGAGCCAAUCUCUUUGUUCCUCAACUUUCGUACUUGCCUAUCAAGGAUGGCAACUGGAAUUACUUCAUAAGUCAAUUCUUCAUUAACCUCAAUGGUCUCAACCGGAGUAAUAAUUGACGGAUCUCCAACCACCUUCUUCAACAUGGACACGUGGAACACCGGGUGCACCAAAGACAUCUCUGGACACGUGGAACACCAGGUGCACCAAAGACAUCUCUGGGCACGUGGAACAUCGGGUGCACCAAAGCCUACUUCGGCACCAUGAAAUCCCAGGUUCUUAGGCAAAAUUUUAUGGGGCCUUACAUUAUCGUUCUGUACUUGUUAAAAUGAUGAAACUGUACAGGUUAUAGCUAGUAUCAAUUAUAAUUCGUGCUUCUUUUACCUCGCUGAGGUUAGUUACGAUACUUAUUGAGUUCAUUAGGUCGGUUGUAGUCUACUACACUCUCCACUUAAUUGUGCAGAUCUAGAUGUGGGGACCAGUUAUGAGUAGUUGAUUUAUCUAUUGGACCCAACUUCGAGAGGCAAGGUAGAGCUGCAUCCUUGGUCGCAGUUUUGACUUGUCCUUUCUUGUGUACUGUUGUUUUAGUUCAAACAAUAGUGUUAUUUAGUUUUUCAGACUUGUACUCCGUUGUAGAGCGCAUCACUCCGUAUUUACCAGUUUCUUGGGGAUUUACCUUGUAUUGGUAGUACUUUAUUACAUUGAGGUUUCAGACUUAUGCAAUUUCUAUAAUUUAUGUUGUUAUGGUUCUUUACUGUUAUGUUUCACCUUGCCUAGCCAGUGUUUUAGGCGUCGUCUCGACGGGUUGGGAUUUUGGAUCUUGAUAAGUUGGUAUUAGAGCCCUAGGUUCAUAGUAUUACGAGUCAUGAGAAAGUUUAGUAAAGUCUUACGGAUCGGUGCGGAGACGUCUGUACUUAUCUUUGAGAGGCUACCGAACUAUUAGGAAACUUCACUUUCUUGUAUUCUUGUCAUGCGGAUAUGUUAUUUUUGAAAUUUGAACUUGAAUAUUUUAUUCUCUCACAGAUGGUGAGGACACGUGUGACCGGAUCAGGCGGACGGCCACCAGUACCACCAGCUAGGACCGCGAGAGGCCGGGGUCGUGGUAGAGGCUGAGGUAUGGCUUUUACUACAUCUAGAGCAGGUACCAGAUGUUGCUUCAGCUCAGGAGCAGGUACCAGAUGUGGUUGAGUCGGUGGGACCAACUCAGGCAUUAGGAGUGCCCAUUGUGAUUCCUGGCCUUCAGGAGGCCUUAGCCCAAAUUUUGACUGUGUGCAUGAUUCUGGCCUUUAGGAGGAAUUGUGUAGGCAGUUUGAGCAGAUACACUAAAAGGGUAUGAGAGUGACUUAGUAUGAGAUGAGGUUUUCAGAGUUGGCUCGUCACAUGGUAUUGUUGGUUUCCACUGAGAGGGAGAAGAUUAAGAGGUUCAUUAAUGGCCUCGACUAUGGUUUGCGCUUCAUUAUGGCUCGGGAGGUUACAAUGGGUGUGAGGUUUGACAGGGUGGUUGAUAUUGCUAGAUGCUUAGAGUUGGUUCGCAGGUAGGAGCGGGAGGCCAAGAGGCCUCAUAGUUUAGGUGGUUUCAGUAGUGCCUCAUCUGGAGGCCAAUCCUAUUAUAGUAGAGGCCAUUCUUCUAGACCAGUUUAGGCAACUCGCCAUGUUCCUUGUGGUUCUUCAGUUAGCCACAGUUCCUACAGUGCCUACCCAACUCACUCAUCAUUCAGUGCAUUACCGGCACAAAGUUUUUAUCGUGCCCCAUCUGUUCAGGUUUCCACAAGCAAUUCUUCGGGCUAUCAGGUUCAACAGCAUGUCAAGAGGGUUUGCUAUGAGUGCGGAGAGUUGAGAGUCAUCUCAAGAGAGAUUGCCCCAAACUACUGAGUAGGGUCCCAGAGAAGAGUUCUCAGCCUAUGAUCCCAGCACCAGAAGCUACACCACCCGCACAACCAUCUCAUAGUGGGGCCCAGUCAGCUCGAGGCCGCCUUAGAGAGGGCGAUCGAUCAGGUGGAAGUCAGGCCCGUUGCUACGCAUUUCUAGCCAGACUAGAGGCGGCUACCUCUGAUGUCGUGAUCACAAGUAUUGUUUCAGUAUGCCACAGGGAUGCUUUGGUAUUAUUUGAUCCUGGUUCCACUUAUUCAUAUGUGUCAUCAUACUUUGCUCGUUAUUUGGAUAUGCCCCAUGAUUCUUUAGUUAUGUAUGUUCAUGUAUCUACACCGAUGAGUGAUUAUAUUAUUGUGGAUGCGUACCGAUCAUAUGUAGUGACUAUUAUGCAAUAAGAGAUGAGAGUUGAUCUUUUACUGCUUAGCGUGGUUGAUUUUGACGUGAUUUAGGCAUGGAUUGGUUGUCACCAUGUCACACUAUUCUAGAUUAUCACACUAAGACUGUGACAUUGGUGAUGCCAGGAUUGCCUAGGGUUGAGUGGAAGGGUUCUCUGGACUAUGUUUCCAGUAGAGUAAUUUCAUAUUUGAAGGCCCAACAGAUGGUUGGGAAGGGAUGUCUAGCGGCCUUCAUGAGGGAUGUUGGUGCUGAUACUCCUACUAUUGAGUUCGUUCCGGUAGUGAGAGACUUUCCAGAUGUAUUUCCUGUAGACCUACCGGGCAUGCCACCCGACAGAGACAUUGAUUUUGGUAUUGAUCUAGUGCCAGACACUCAGCCCAUCUCUAUUCCACCGUAUCGUAUGGCACCAGCAGAGUUGAAAGAAUUGACAAACUACCUUCAGGAACUACUUGAUAAGGGAUUCAUCAGGCCUAAUGUGUUUCCUUUGGGUGCACCGGUUCUAUUUUUGAAGAAUAAGGAUGGUACUAUACGGAUGUGAAUUGAUUACAGGCAGUUGUACAAAGUUACAAUUAAGAACAAGUACCCACUACCACACAUUGAUGACUUAUUUGACCAACUUCAGGGUGUUAGAGUGUUCUCUAAGAUUGAUUUAAGGUCUGGGUAUCACCAGUUGAAGAUUUAAGAUUCUAAUAUUCUGAAGAUGGCAUUUAGGAACCGCUAUGGUCAUUACGAGUUUCUUGUGAUGUCUUUUGGGCUGAUCAAUGCCCCAACAGUCUUUAUGCACCUGAUGAAUAGUGUAUUCCAGUCAUAUCUUGAUUUAUUUGUUAUAGUAUUCAUUGAUGAUAUACUGGUGUACUCACGCAGCCAGGAGAAUCAUGAGUAGUAUUUGAGGAUUGUACUCCAGACGUUGAGGGAGAAGAAACUAUAUGCUAAAUUCUCCAAGUGUGAGUUUUGGAUUAAUUCUGGGGUGUUCUUAGGGCACGUGGUGUCCAAUGAGGGAAUCAAGGUAGAUCCGAAGAAGAUUAAGGCAGAGUAAAGUUGUCCCAGACCGUCUUCAGCUACUGAGAUUUGGAGUUUUCUUGGUUUGACCAGAUAUUAUCGCUGUUUCAUGGAGGGUUUCUCAUCCAUUGCUGCACCUUUGACCAGAUUGACCCAGAAGGGUGCCCCAUUCAGGUGGUCUGAUAAGUGUGAGGACAGCUUUCAGAAGCUCAAGUCUGCCUUGACCACAAUCUCAGUUUUAGUUUUGCCUUUAGCAUCGGUUUCAUAUACGAUUUAUUGUGACUCUUCUUGGAUUGGUAUUGGGUGUGUCUUGAUGCAGGAGGGUAGGGUAAUUGCUUGUGUUUCGUGCCAGUUGAAUACCUAUGAGAAGAUUUAUCGUGUUCAUGAUCUAGAGUUGGCAGAUAUUGUCCAUGCAUUAAAGAUUUGGAGGCAUUAUCUCUACGACGUGUCUUGUGAGCUAUUUACAUAUCAUCAGAGUCUACAUCACUUGUUUAAGUAGAAGGAUUCGAAUUUGAGGCAGUGAAGGUGGUUAAAGCAGUUAAAAGACUAUGAUAUCACCAUUUUGUAUCAUCCCGGGAAUGCUAAUAUGGUGGCCGAUGCCUUGAGUAGAAAGGCGGAGAGUAUGGGUAGCCUUGCAUAUAUUCCAGUUGGUGAGAGACCGCUAGCAUUGGAAGUUCAGGCCUUGGCCAAUCAGUUCAUGACGUUAGAUAUUUCGGAGCCUCGCCAAGUUCUUGCUUGUAUGGUUUCUUGGUCUUCUUUGUAUGAUCGCACUAGAGGGUGUCAGUAUGACGACCCCCAUUUGCUUGUCCAUAUGGAAAUGGUGCAGCAUGGUGAUGCCAAAUAGGUUUCUAUUAGAGAUGACGGGUGUUGCAGAUGCAAGGACAAAUUUGUGUGCCCAAUAUGGAUAGGUUACGUGAGUUGAUUCUUGAGGAGGCCCACAAUUUGCGGUAUUCCAUUCAUCCGGGUGUCGAGAAGAUGUAUCAGGACUUGAGGAACCACUAUUGGUGGAGGAGAAUGAAUAAAGAUAUAGUAGAUUAUGUGGCUUAUUUCUUGAACUAUCAGUAGGUGAAGUACGAGCAUCAGAGGCCGUGCGGUUUGCUUCAGAGACUUGAGAUUCCCAAGUGAAAAUGGGAGUGAGUUAUCAUGGAUUUCGUUGUUGGGAUCCCACACGGACUUUGAAGAAAUUUGAUGAAGUUUGGGUGAUUAUGGGCUGGUUGACUAAGUUCACAUAUUUUAUUCUUAUUGUGACUACCUAUUCUUCAGAGCGACUGGCUUAGAUCUAUAUCCGUGAGAUUGUUCGACUUCAUGGUGUGCCUGUGUCCAUUAUUUCUGAUCGAGGCACACAAUUCACAUCGCAAUUUUGGAGAGCAGUGUAGCGAGAGUUAGGCACACAGGUUGAGUUGAUUCAGCAUUCCACCCCCAGAAGGACAGACAGUCCAAACGCACCAUUUAGAUCUUCGAGGAUAUUCUACGUGCUUGUGUUAUGGAUUUCGGGGGUUCUUGCGAUUAGUUUCUACCGCUUGCAGAGUUUCCCUACAACAACAACUACCAAUUGAGUAUUCAGAUGGCUCCUUAUGAGGCCUUAUAUGGGAGGCAGUGUCAAUCUCUUGUUGGUUGGUUUGAACCGAGAAAGGCUAGGUUGUUGGGUACUGAUCUGGUUUGGGAUGCCUUAGAGAAAGUCAAGUUGAUUCAGGAUCGACUUCGUACAGCACAAUCCAGGUAGAAGAGUUAUGCGGAUAGGAAGGUUCAUGAUAUUGCAUAUAUGGUGGGUGAUAAGGUUUUGCUCAGAGUAUCGCCCAUGAAGGGUGUGAUGAGGUCUCGAAAGAAGGGCAAGUUGAGCCCUUGGUAUAUUGGUCCUUUUGAGGUGCUUGAGAGGAUUGGAGAGGCGGCCUACAAGCUUGCAUUGCCACCUAGUCUAUCGGGACUUCACCCAAUAUUUCAUGUUUCUAUGCUCCAGAAGUAUUAUGGUGAUCCGUCACAUGUUUUGAAUUUCAGCAUGGUUCAGUUAGACGGAGAUUUGACUUAUGAUGUGGAGCCGGUGGCCAUGUUGGAUCGGCAGGUUCAAAGGUUGAGAUCAAAGAAUAUAGCUUCAGUGAAGGAUUAAUGGAGAGGCCAUCUAGUCGAGAAGGCUACUUGGGAGACUGAGCGGGAUAUGCGGAGCAGUUAUCCAUACCUAUUUGAGACUUCAGGUAUGAUUCUAGACAUGUUCGAGGACGAACGAUUGUUUAGGAGGGGAGAAUGCAACUAUCCGGCCGGUCAUUUUGUGUAUCAUAGCUCGUUCCCCUGUUUAUUGCUUAUUCGAUGUUCACUUGUGGCUAUGUGACUUGCCGGGUGGUUGCUUUGGUUCUGAAGAUGAUUCGGAGUAAAUUGGGACAUUUAGUCCCAAGGUUGGAAGCUUAAGUUGAAAGAGUUGACCGGAUGUUGACUUUUGUGUAAACGACUCCAGAAUGGAGUUUUGAUGGUUCUGAUAGCUUCGUAUGGUGAUUUUGGACUUAGUUGUACGUCUGGAUUUGGAUUUGGAGGUCCGUAGGUUGAUUUGGUGCAUUUUAACAAAAAAUGGAAAGUUAAAGGUUUGGAAGGUUGAGAAGUUUGAUUGAGAGUUGACUUUGUGGGUAUCGGGUUCGGAUUUAGGUUCCGAAAGUUGGAAUAGGUCCAUCGUGUCAUUUAUGACUUGUGUGCAAAAAUAAGGUCAAUCAGAGUUUGUUUGAUAUGAUCGGCAUUAGUUUUAGAAGUUUGAAGUUCGUUUGUUCAUUAGGUUUGAAUCAAUGUACAAUUUGUGGUUUUGGUAUUGUUUGAUGUGAUUUAAGGCUUCAAUCGAGUUCGUAUGCUAGGCUUGGCCUUGGUCGCAGAUGCGGUAGCCGAUCUGUAGGUGCGGAUGCGCAAAAGCAGGCGAGGGGCUGCAGAAGCGGUCUCACAGGUGCAGAGCUUUGACCGCAGGUGCGCUGGGUCGAUAAGUUAAUGAUAUCUCGCACCAGCGAUGGUGAGUCCGCAGGUGCGACUCUGAGGGCCGUAGAAGCAAAAUUGGUACGGUGUAAUUUACACCGAAGAGUUUAGUUGAUUUUUCUCAUUUGUGGGAUUUUGACGUUCGUACUAGGGCAAUAUUUAGAGAGGGUUCCACCCAGAUUGAAGAGGUAAGUGACUUUUAAUCGCUUUUGUCCAUAAAUAUUGAAUACCCAUUGAUUAUUACACCAAUUGUGCACGAAACUUAGUUAGAAUUUGGGAAUUUUUGGACUAUGUUAUUGGAAAGUGAAAUUUGAGGAUUUGGGGGGCGACUUGUGGUUGAAAUUGGACGAUUUUGGUAUAGUUGAACUCGUAAUUGAAUGUGUAUUCGGAAUUUGAGAAUUUUGUCAGAUUCCGAGGUGCGGGCCCAGGGUUGACUCUUUGACUUGAGGUAAAGACCUUAGCUUUAUAUUUUGGAAUCACUUCCUAUGACUUUUAUUGAUAGUAUUACGUUAUUUUGGCUAGAUUCAAGUCAUCCAGUGAUUGAUACGCGCUGGAAGGGAUCUUUAGCGGAGUGAUUUUGUUUGCAUGAGAUAGGGAUCUUAUCUAAACUUGGUUGAGGCACUAGUUUCCUGAAUUAUUCGUGAUAGCUACGUGCUAUAGGUGCGCACAUAUAUGAGGUUUGAACCUAUGUGCUAACACCGGAGUAUUUAUCCAUGCUCAUGUUAUUCUUAGGCUAUGAUAUGCUUAGAAUUGACUGUUAAGUUUUAAGCUAUGAUAUUUCUCAUAUUUGUAACAUUGUUGUGAACUAUUUGAGCCAUGUUUGAGAUUACAUAGAGGCUAAAUCCCUGAAUGAACUUGAUAAUUGUUAUCUCCUUGAUGAAAUAGCCAGUUUGAGCUAUGAUAGCACACUAUGCAUAUGCCUACACUUUAGCAUGUCACUCAUAGUAGUCCAGGAGCAUGAGAUAUGUUAUUCGUUCAUCCUAUACAUGCAUUCUUAUAUAUUUGCUUCUGUGUGAUACGAUUUGGAAUGGAUGCUUGUGACCACCCCAGGCGGAGUGACUUGUUAUGCAUGUGACCACGCCAGGGGGAUUAUAUUGUUAUGCUUAUGACCAUGCCGGGCAAAUUAUGUUGUUAUGCAUGUGAUCACGUCGGGCAGAUUAUGGUGUUAUGCCUGUGACAACGCCAGGCAUAUUGUACUGUUAUGUCUGUGAUCACGCCGAGCGGAUUAUGAUAUUGAGCCUGUGACCACACCGGGCUGGUGGCAUAUUGAAUUGGUCGUGCUUGCGUGUGGAUAUGUAUUCCUCUCAUCUAGCCAGUGUUUGUUUGGAUUUUGCAUUUCAUCUUUACUUGCAAUUUCUGCGGUUAAUUACUUGAUUUAACUGCAUAUCAUCUCUAUAUGUUGCACAUUGACUGAAAAGAGUAUUUGCUUAAUUGUACACAUACACACACAAAAACUACUUCCUGUGCUCUAUGACUUGAUUUCAUUAUCGUUCUGUACUUUUUAAAAUGAUAAAAUUGUACAGGUUAUAGCUAUAAUCAUUUAUAAUUCGUGUUUCUUUUACCUCGCCGAGGUUAGUUACGAUAAUUAUUGAGUACAUUAGGUCAGUUGUACUCAUACUACACUUUGGAAUUAAUUGUGUAGAUCCAGGUGUGAGGACCAGUUAUCAACAAUAGAUUUAUCUGUUGGACCCAGCUUCGAGAGGCGAGGUAGAGCUGCAUCCUUGGCCGCAGUUUUGACUUGUCUUUUGUUAUGUAUUGUUGUUUCAAUUCAAACAAUAGUGUUUUUUAGUUUUUCAUACUUGUACUCCAUUGUAGAGCUCACGACACCAUAUUUACUAGUUUAUGGGGGAUUUACCUUGUAUUGGCAGUACUUUGUUACAUUGAGGUUUGAGACUUAUGUUAUUUCUAUAAUUUAUAUUGUUCUAGUUCUUUAUUGUUAUGUUUCGGCUUGCCUAGACAGUGUAUUAGGUAUCAUCACGACGAGUUGAGAUUUUGGGGUCGUGACAGGCAUUUAUGCCAGGCACACAUUAUGCUCUCUGUGUGUGUGUAUGAAUUGGUACUAAUUAUGUGGAAAGGUUGAAUCUGAGCAUGCGCAUAUAUCAUGCACCCACGUAGAAGCAUUUCCUUACAUGCUGUUUCUGUAUAUUAUUUAUCUUAGGUGAACUCGGACUAUAGAUUAUGCUUUGAUCAUUAAAUCUGAGAAGCAUGGUAUUUAUUUUCUUUGGAAUUGUUGUUGGACUGUUCUUUCUCUGUAUUUACACUUAUUGAUUAUUAUCUCAUUAUUGAAGUAAGUAUCAUCUUGGUUAGAGCCUCGUUACUACUUGUUCGACGUUAGACUUGAUACUUGUUGAGUAUAUUGGGUUGGUUGUACUUAUAAUACACUUCUACAUAUUUUGGUGCAGAUCCAAGUGUUUGUACUUAUGAAGCACAACAUGAUGCUUAGUUACUAAUUUUGUAGACACAAGGUAGUGCUGCUGGUUCGACCGCAAGCCCGUGAAGUCACCUUCUUCACAUCUAUUUACUAUUAUUUGAUUCAGAUAGUACUAUACUUAUUUCAGACCAUAUAUUUUGCUACUUUUAGAAGCGCACGUACUCAGUGACACCCAAUCCGGGAUUGUUUUAUUGUUUUGUACUUUUUUAUUUUGAUCGAGACUUAUCUAUGACAAUGAUCUUGUUUAGACUUAUAAUUUUCAUGCUAGUGAUUUCUUUAGAGAUUAUGAUUGUUGGUUCGCCUAGAAGGCAAGUUAAGUGUCAUCACAGCCAUUGGAGGGUUUUAGAUCAUGAUAGCAUGGUAUCAUAGUCUAAGUUGCAUUGGUCCAUGAGUCAUGAGCAUGUUUAAUUGAGUCUUGUUUAUCGGCAUAGAGACGUCUAUACUUAUCUUCAAGAGGUUGUGGGAUGUUUAGGAAACUUCACUCUCUUUCAUUCUCUAUCGUGCAACUCAUCCUGAAUUCUGAAUCUUAUUCCUCUAUUCUCUCAUAAAUAUCGGGAACACGUGAAUUAGCCGUAGCCAAGCAGGAGCUGGUACUCCAGGCCAGAGCCAUAAGAGGAAGGGCCUGAGCAGGGCUGGAGCUCAGGCCAGUGCUCAUACAGUAGAACCUGCCAGAUGUAGAAUAUCUGCAGCGGCUUGUGGACGUACCAAAGCAGCAUCUAUUGAGCCUCAAAUAUCUCCAGUUAGAGAGCAUGCCUAGUUUAGGAAGAGCAGUUAGGACCAACUCAUGUCCCAAAGGGUUUCAUCACUACUCCUGCGAUUCAAGAGACUUUGGUCUGCAUUGCGGGAUUUUUCGAGAAUAUGGCACAAGCCGGAGUAUUCCUAAGUGCACCAACUACUUCUCAGGCUGGCGGGAGGCUCAAACCCCUACUACCUACAAACUAUAGCAGCAACAUGCCCCAGUUUUCAGACUAUCAGAGUUACCCCACAUGUCACUGCCGCAUUACAGCCAGUAAGUCAGAAUAGUGUGACUGGAGAGAUGAGAGAAUUUAUUGAAGGACUCAACUAUGGCAUUAGUCUUGGUAUAGCCCAAAAAGGUAGGGAUAGAGUGCACUAUGGGAAGGCUAAGGAGAAAGCCUUGAGGGCAGAGCGCAUGCGACUCCGUAGUUAGAGAAAAGAGGAGCGGAAGAGCAUGAAAUCCCACAGGCAGUUCCAGCAGUCUUUCUCAGCUAUAGGUUAUUAUUAGUGUGGUGAUUUGAGGCAAAUGAGGAGAAAUUAUCCAAGACUUCUUAGUGGUGCAUCUCAGCAAGGUACUCAAACUAUAGUUCCAACCUAGUGACUACACCACUUGCACGGCCAGCUAGAGGUGGGGGUCUGGCAGGUAGAGGUCAUCCCACAAGUGGAGGUCAGGCAUGUGGCUAUGCUUUUUCUGGUAGGACAAAGAUGAUUGCAUCUGAUACAGUUAUAAAAGGUAUUAUUUCAAUCUGUCAUAGGGAUGCUUCAGUAUUAUUUGAUCUGGGUUCUACUUAUUCGUAUAUGUUAUCUUACUUUGUAUUAUGUUUGGGUAUGUCUCGUGAUUAUUUGGAUAUUCUUGUUCAUGUGUCUACACUUAUUGGACAUUCUAUAGUGGUGGAUCAUUUAUAUCGGUCUUUUGUGGUUACUAUAAAUGGGUACAAUACUAUGGUUGAUCUCUUGUUGCUACACAUAGUGGAUUUUGAGGUUAUUCUUGGCAUAAAUUGGUUAUCCCUGUAUCAUGUUAUCUUGGAUUGUAAUGCCAAGACUGUGACUUUAGCUAUGCCAGGGACACCUAGGUUAGAAUGGAGAGGGACAUUUGGUCAUGCUACAGGUAGAAUGAUUUCAUUUUUGAAGACUCAGCAUAUGGUUGAGAAGGAAUGUUUAGCAUAUUUGGCUUUUAUUCGGGAUUCUAAUGCAGAGGUUCCUUUUAUGGAUUUGGUACCGGUUAUGAUAGAGCUCCCGAAGGUGUUUCCUAUGCGUUUUCUGGGUAUGCCAUCAGAUAGUAAUAUUAAUUUUGGUAUUGACUUGGUGCCGGUUACUCAGCCUAUAACUAUUCCACCACAUCACAUGGCUCCAACAGUGUUGAAAGAGUUAAAGGACCACUUGUAAGAUUUGCUUGAUAAGAGAUUCACUAGACCGGGUAUUUCUCCUUGGGGUACACUAGUGUUAUUUGCGAAGAAGAAAUAUGGUACUAUGAGGAUGUGCAUUAAUUAUAGGCAGGUGAAUAAGGUUAUAUAAAGAACAAGUAUCCAUUGCCACGGAUUUGUCAUACUUCCCUUUUUCGGGGGAAAUAGGAGUUUUUUUUAAUUAAAGUGAUAUUAUUUGAAUAUGAAUUAAUUAAUAAUAUUUUAGGAGUCGUCACUUGGAAUAGAGUAUUUUUAAUAUUCCAAGUCACCAAUUUAUUAAAUCUUUAAUCAAGAAAAUUUUAUCUCCAAUUUAUGAUUUGCGAAUACAGAAGAUCGGGUCAGGAAUUUUGUUGAACAGGAAGAAGGUAUGAGUCACUCCCCGAAUCCCGUGGUUUUAGCACGUUCGCUAAAUUAACUUACACUUGGCUUAAAUUAAUUUAGAAUAUAUUGUAUUUAAUAGUUUUCACAUUUUAUCUAUAUUCAUUUUUAAUUGCUUGACUAUUGGAGAUAUGAAAAUUAUCUUGACCAAGUCACACAUACAUGUCCUUGUCUUAUUUGCGAGUUAAGAAUCAUGUUAUGCAUAUGUGUGCAUAAUCAAAGAAAACUUAUUAUUAUUUCGAAUUAAUUUAGUUAAUUGCCCUUUAAUUUAUGGAUCAUAACUAUGUUAUGCAAGCGUAUAUAUAGCCAUGGUGUUAAAAACGUACCUAAAGCAUGCUAGCGUGUGUAAUUAUUUUCCUAAUUUGAGAUCAAAAUUAAAGCAUAAAUUUAUGAAUAAAUUAAGAGUGCAAUUAUAUUAGAGAAGUCAACACACUCUUUGUUAUUUAUAACUUAAUAAGGUUACGACAUUCUAGAUCUUUGAAAUAAAUCUAAUUACAAACUAGUAGAGAAUUAUUGAAAGAGUUAAUAAAUUAUUGUAAGUUAAUUAAAUGUGACAUCUGAAAUGAUUUUGGCCUUAUUGGUACACUAGCAUUUGCAUUUUGGAUUUUAAAAAUGUGGGUAAAAUGAUUGAUUAAUUCUCAAUAAGUGAAUUUUAUAAUAGCAAUUAGUCAUCAUAUAAAAGAAAAGCAUGAAUAAGAAUAAACUUAAAUCACUUAGGCCUGGAGACUUGGCUUAUUCAUCGAAAAAAUGACAUUGAUCCACAAAGUCACUGGGCUCUCGAAGUCCCUAUUAGAAUCGAGGCAGACUGGCCUUGUAUCUUUAACCUGCAGACUUAGUCUUUAGGUCUGAAAUUUUGAGACAGACCCACUAAUAAAGAAAUCCCAAAUUGAAAACCUUGAACCCUGAAUCUCAACCUAAAACUAAGUUCAAACACCAAAUUAAACUGAACAACUAAUAAACACAGAAGUUAACAACAAACAUGCUUAAAACUAACUAUUAUAAAUGAUUACAUAUGUCGUUAAUUAUCAACUAAGUUAACAAAUAGUCAUGCUAUAAUUCGAAACCCUAGUUGACUAAACAUGCAAUUAACUAAACAACUAAAAUCAUACAUUAAUCAAGAAAAUCUUAAUUAGUGAAAUUGAGUUAAUCAUGCAAUUCAAAUGAGAAAGCAAAACGGAGCAGAAACUAAUUAAAGAAGAAGUGAAAAAGAAAGGAUCAAGGUUACCUCUUAAAAUCUUAUGCCAUCCGGAGAAGAAGAAUCCAAUUGGAAGUUGCCAUCAUCACAUUGAACUUUGCUUAGAUUCUACAUUCCAGUCUGGGUUAAUGUGAUGAUGGCUACUGAGAGUCGGAGUACCAAAAUAAAGGGGAGUUUUAGUGAUUUUGUCCAGCCAACAGUAAGUUGACCGGAGCCGACCGCCAUGAAAUGACCUAAAACCAGCAUCAAUCAAUAGAUCUCAACAAGACCUAGUGACUGGUGUGAGUUUCAAGUUCACACGGCGUUUGGUCAUGUCGAAUUCCAAAAAGGGACACGGAGGCAAGGAUUUUAUUUCUAUAGUUCGAUUUUGGGCAAUAUUGGAUUGGAAUUGGAGUUUGAUCUUAGCAGAUUGGGAUAGAGGAUAAGGAGAGGAGUAAUUUGGUGGAGAUUCGAGGUGGAUUGGCCAUCACCGGCCGGCGAAGAUGAUUUUCGAUCGGUGGUGGAGCAGUGGUGGACAGCAAAAAGAAUGUGUUGAAUUGCAGAGGCAAUCUCCAGCCACCACGGAGAGGAGAGAGAAAAUGAGGUCUG
This 15621-nucleotide long non-coding RNA is filed under the name Nicotiana tabacum (common tobacco). RNAcentral describes it as "long non-coding RNA (NTAB_LNC002860)". Lineage: Eukaryota; Viridiplantae; Streptophyta; Magnoliopsida; Solanales; Solanaceae. The record is from RNAcentral.